AAAAAAGCUCACACCACAAACAAGAAAGAAUUGAAGAAAGAAAAAACAUCUCACAAAUGGCUACAUUGUUUUUUUUUCUUGGCCCUUUAAUCAAGUUAUUUUCCUUUCUUUUUUUUUUUUUUAAAUGCUGAGAGUAAUGUUUUAAAUAAAAAGAA
RNAcentral lists this non-coding RNA (155 nucleotides) under Protocruzia adhaerens. Lineage: Eukaryota; Ciliophora; Spirotrichea. The record is from RNAcentral.